UGGCCUAUGGGGGAAUCGAACCCACAACCUUCGCAUUAUCAGCACGACACUCUAAUCAGCUGAGCUAAUGGGUC
This is a non-coding RNA of Cordylochernes scorpioides, 74 nucleotides long. The record is from the annotation of a GenBank genome assembly. Lineage: Eukaryota; Metazoa; Arthropoda; Arachnida; Pseudoscorpiones; Chernetidae.